Molecule: ribosomal RNA, 111 nt
Filed under: Pogona vitticeps (central bearded dragon)
Lineage: Eukaryota; Metazoa; Chordata; Lepidosauria; Squamata; Agamidae
Source: RNAcentral
UUUAACUCAUGUAGCCCUGAAUACCGAUCUCAUCUGUUUUUAGAGGCUAAGCCAGGUUGGGCCUGGCUAGUAUUUGGGAGACCCUUAGGAAAUACCCGGGAUCACUUGGAA